CUGUUUUCUUUUUCUUUUUGUUUCCUUUUCCUUUUUCCUGUUUCUUCUUUUAUUUUUCUUUUUUCUUUUUUCCUUUUUUCUGUUUCGUGUUUUCUUUUUAUUUUUGUUUCCUUUUUCUUUUUCCUGUUUCUUCUUUUAUUUUUCUUUUUUCCUUUUUUCUGUUUCCUGUUUUCUUUUUCUUUUUGUUUCCUUUUUCUUUUUUAUGUUUCUUCUUUUAUUUUAUUUUUUUGUUUUCCUUUUUUGUUUUUUUAC
Molecule: long non-coding RNA, 252 nt
Filed under: Hordeum vulgare
Lineage: Eukaryota; Viridiplantae; Streptophyta; Magnoliopsida; Poales; Poaceae
Description: long non-coding RNA (HVUL_LNC002062)
Source: RNAcentral